CUCCUAGCACAGAGUUAAGAGUUCAUUGCUGGGCAGUGCAAGCCAAGCAGUAAGCGGGAGACCCAGCUUAACAAGAAGGAAUGUUGCGUAGACCAGGAAUGCUGGACCAUGUGGAGGCUGAAGGAACAGUUAGAAAAGAGGGCCCACCGGUUGGAAAUAAAGUCGGAAUAAUCCUGAGCAUCCAGAAGAAAAGAGUUGAAGCCGCUGUCACUAGGAGGAAGCUUCUCUGGAUCCAUUUAGGGGAACAACAGGAGCCAGCCCCGUGGCGUAGUGGUUCAGUUCAGCAUGCUCUGCUUCAGCGGCUUGGGUUCCCAGGUUUGGAUCCCAGGUACGGACCUCCACCACUCCUCAGCCAUGCUGAUGCAGUUACCCACAUCCAAAACAGAAGAAGACUGGCACAGAUGUUAGCUCAGGGCUAAUCUUCCUCAGCAAAAGAAGGGGAAACAACAAAACAAGAACAACAACAACAAAAGCAGGAUCUGAAACAAAAUCUAUGAAAUCAGAGUUGGAGAUAAAAUAGGAUCUAAUUCUGAAUUCUGAAUUCCUGAUAUGUGUAUCUGUUCCUAUACUAACGCCACAUUGAAUGAUGGAUACAUAGUGUGUUCCAAUAGCUGGAUCCGAACCAGCGAAACACUGGGCCACAGAAGUGGAGCGCGCGAAGUUAAUCACUCGGCCACGGGGCCGGCCUCCAGGAUUUGCCCCCAUCUCAAGGUCCUGAUUUGUAGCCUCAUUUGCUGUCUGGUUCGAGUGAAAUAUUUGUUCUUAGAUGGGCACUUGGUAAUAUACUCUCAAAGAUUUUGAAUAUCUUUGAAUUUUUUUUAAAUUCUGUCAGGUGAAUAACUCUUGAUUGACUAUAGGAUUCUGAAGUGACAGUCCUUUUAGCUUAGUAGUCUGCUGAUGAUAUUCCACUGACUUCUAGCUCUCAUAGUUAUGAACACACAUUCCAAAGGCAGUAUGCUAUUUUUACAGGGAUUAUUUGUUCUAUCAAGACUCUUAUAAAAAAAUUUAUGUAUAUAUAUGUAAAUAUUGAAUGUACAUAUUUUAUAAAUACAUGUAAAUAUUAAUUUUUGCAUUUAUAUAUGUGUAGAUUUCUUUUUCCAAGGGUCUGAUAGAGAGAACAAAUUACUCCCCUACAAAAUAACAAACUGCCUUUGGAAUGUUUGUUCAUAACUAUGAAAGCUUUAUAGAGAUAGAUAUAAAGAUAGAUAUAUUGGUGUAUAGAUAUAUUGGUAUAUAGGUAUUUUUCUAUAUAAAUAUUUACCAAAACUUAUCAUUAAUUCAUCAGAGACCAACCUUUAUUUCAAUUUAUAUACAGCUAUGUGUCGCUUAACGAAGCAAAUACAUUUUAAGAAAUGCAUCAUUAUGUGAUUUUGUUGUGGUGCAAAUAUCAUCGAGUGUACUGAAGGGGAAUAAAAUUUGCCACCCCAGAAUGUGUCUUAACAUGAGGAUUAUUUUAGGCUGAUUAUUUUUAAGAAAAAAAAUACUCAGAAGGUUUUCUUGUUACCUCCCCCUUACCUGCCUAAAAGAAUUCAGAUUAAAAAACCUGUCUCAGGGAGCUGGCCUGGUGGUGCAGUGGUUAAGCUCUCACAUUCCACUUCAGCAGCCAGGGUUCACCAGUUCGGAUACUGGGUGCAGACCUAUGCACCACUUGUCAAUCCGUGCUGUGGCCGGCGUCCCACAUAUAAAGUAGAGGAAGAUGGGCACCAAGGUUAGCUCAGGGCCUGUUUUCCUCAGCAAAUAGAGGAGGAUUGGCAACAGAUGUUAGCUCAAGGCUAAUCUUCCUCAAAGAAAUGAGAAAAAACCCAAACCUGUCUCAGAAAGUAAGCUAUUACCUUAACAUAACAUGAACUAGGUGGUAGAAAGCGAGACACCUAGAAAAAGGUGGUAGAAAGCGGCUCCUCUCUGUUUUCUUCUGUGAAACUUGUUUUCCAAAUGUUUGCUUCUUUUCACCUACUUGUGAAUUGCCUUUGUUUCCUUUGAGGCCCCUGACUCUCCCACCCCCAACCUCUUCUUUUGUUUUAGGUUGAAAAUGGUAUUUAAGGUGAAGGCUUCAGUCAUUUUGGUGAGUUAGUUUUUCUGGGUUUCUUCCAUGUGUACAUGUUAUUAAACUUUUGCUUGUUUUUCUCCUAUUAAUCUGUCUCAUGUCAAUUUAAUUCUUAGAUCAGCCAGAAGAACCUAGAAGGAUAGAGGACAAUUUCUUCCUCCUCUACAGUACUUACACAAACCUAGAUGACGUAGCCUACUACACACCUAGGCUGUAUGGUACUAAUCUUGUGGGACCACCGUCGUAUACGUGGUCUGUCGUUGACGGAAGUGUUGUUAUGUGGUACCUGACUGUACUAAAAUUUUUAAUUCAGAAGUCAUAGUUUUCAGUUUUAAGAAGUCUUUCAGUGCUUUUUCUCUCAAAUGCUCUUUUUCUGUUUAUUUAUACUUCUAUUCUUGCUCUAGCUCUUCCAGAAGUUCAAUUUCAUAAAGUGUGACUUAAGAUUCUUCAAUCUACUCCUCUCAACCAAGCUAUUUUGGAUCCUCAUAAAAGAAAACUAAAAGAGUUUGUCACUCACUGACCUGCACUACAAGAAAUGCCAAAAGAUGUUCCUCACGAUGAUGGGAAAUUAUACCAGUUACAUAAAAAAGGGUGAAGAGCAUCAGAAGUGAUGGGAAUUGUUGUGCCGAAGUAAAAGCCCAGAAGGAUGUCCAUUGCAGAGAAAUCUACAACAGCAAAAACAGGAAAAUAACCAAACUCUCUAACAAUACGGAAUGCUUGCUUGAGUAAAUUAUGGCAUCUAAUCUCAGUGAAUUACUAUGAACUCAGUAAAAUGUUUAAAUGACUCAAAAUUGUAUGUACCCUAUGUUAUUAUGUAUUUAUAUGUGGGAGAAAAAACUAGGAUUGUUUGAAUUAAGAUGGAAAUGAGAAUUUUUUAGGAAAGAGUGUAGAUAUCUAUUUCUUAUUUUAAGAUAUCUUUUUGUCAUAAAGUCUUAACUACCUCACAAAUGCUAAUCUUGAAAAACUAACUUUAUUGAUAAUCUUCAAUAUGUUGCAGCAGACGUUUCUAUAUUAUCUAGCAACUAUAGAACUUCUGAAAUUCAGAAUUAUCUAGCUUAAAAUUAGAUGAUAUUCCAUAAGGUUAUUUGUACAGCAGUUGUUUAAGACAUGCAAAAAAAUACAUUUUCCUUAUGAAAUAACAUUAUUACUAAUUAGAA
This 3201-nucleotide long non-coding RNA is filed under the name Equus caballus (horse). RNAcentral describes it as "lncRNA (ENSECAG00000050025.1)". Lineage: Eukaryota; Metazoa; Chordata; Mammalia; Perissodactyla; Equidae. The record is from RNAcentral.